RNAcentral lists this small nuclear RNA (154 nucleotides) under Carlito syrichta (Philippine tarsier). Its description in RNAcentral is "U12 minor spliceosomal RNA (ENSTSYG00000022723.2)". It matches the Rfam family "U12 minor spliceosomal RNA". Rfam says of the family: Although the U12 sequence is very divergent from that of U2, the two are functionally analogous. Lineage: Eukaryota; Metazoa; Chordata; Mammalia; Primates; Tarsiidae. The record is from Rfam by way of RNAcentral.
AUACCUUAAACUUAUGAAUGAGUAAGGAAAAUAACGAUUCGAGGUGACCCCCGGAUCCUCACUGCUAAUGUGAGACGAAUUUUUGAGCGGACAAAGGUUGCCCCAAAGGUGACCUGUCUACUUUGCGGGUUGCCUGGGAGUUGUGAUCUGCCUG